Molecule: ribosomal RNA, 230 nt
Filed under: uncultured bacterium
Lineage: Bacteria
Description: partial 16S ribosomal RNA
Rfam family: Bacterial small subunit ribosomal RNA
Source: RNAcentral
AAAGGGUGCGUAGGCGGCCUAUUAAGUCAGUGUUGAAAUUUCGCAGCUUAACUGUGGGUACGGCAUUGAUACUGGUUGGCUUGAGUGCGCUCGAGGUACUUGGAAUUUAUGGUGUAGCGGUGAAAUGCAUAGAUACCAUAAGGAACGCCGAUAGCGAAGGCAUGGUACCAGGGCGCAACUGACGCUGAGGCACGAAAGUGUGGGGAUCAAACAGGAUUAGAUACCCCUGU